Molecule: small nuclear RNA, 188 nt
Filed under: Dermacentor andersoni
Lineage: Eukaryota; Metazoa; Arthropoda; Arachnida; Ixodida; Ixodidae
Description: U2 spliceosomal RNA
Rfam family: U2 spliceosomal RNA
About the family: U2 is a small nuclear RNA (snRNA) component of the spliceosome (involved in pre-mRNA splicing). Complementary binding between U2 snRNA (in an area lying towards the 5' end but 3' to hairpin I) and the branchpoint sequence (BPS) of the intron results the bulging out of an unpaired adenosine, on the BPS, which initiates a nucleophilic attack at the intronic 5' splice site, thus starting the first of two transesterification reactions that mediate splicing.
Source: RNAcentral
AACGUAGGCAUGGUCGACGCGGCUCAAAUUGUGGCAUCUCUUCUUAUCAGCUUAAUAUCUGUGCGGAUGUUAUUUGGACCCAUAAUCUUAAACCUAUUAUUGCAAGUCGGUGGAGUUCUUGAAGCCUGCUGCACUUCCGCCGCAGGUCUGCCCAUUAUUGCACUACCUCCGGGAUCGGGCCACAGUAU